GGCGUUAUAGUGUAGUGGUUAUCACUCGAGGUUUUGAUCCUCGUAACCCCAGUUCGAACCUGGGUAACGCCU
This 72-nucleotide transfer RNA is filed under the name Galerina marginata CBS 339.88. RNAcentral describes it as "tRNA-Gln (TTG) (tRNA-Gln-TTG-2-1)". It matches the Rfam family "tRNA". Rfam says of the family: Transfer RNA (tRNA) molecules are approximately 80 nucleotides in length. Their secondary structure includes four short double-helical elements and three loops (D, anti-codon, and T loops). Further hydrogen bonds mediate the characteristic L-shaped molecular structure. tRNAs have two regions of fundamental functional importance: the anti-codon, which is responsible for specific mRNA codon recognition, and the 3' end, to which the tRNAs corresponding amino acid is attached (by aminoacyl-tRNA synthetases). tRNAs cope with the degeneracy of the genetic code in two manners: having more than one tRNA (with a specific anti-codon) for a particular amino acid; and 'wobble' base-pairing, i.e. permitting non-standard base-pairing at the 3rd anti-codon position. Lineage: Eukaryota; Fungi; Basidiomycota; Agaricomycetes; Agaricales; Galerinaceae. The record is from RNAcentral.